This 403-nucleotide ribosomal RNA is filed under the name uncultured bacterium. RNAcentral describes it as "bacterial SSU rRNA". It matches the Rfam family "Bacterial small subunit ribosomal RNA", at positions 29 to 416 of the family's 1533-position model. The record is from RNAcentral.
AACGAACGCUGGCGGCGUGCCUAACACAUGCAAGUCGUGCGAGAAAGUUCCUUCGGGAGCGAGUAAAGCGGCGCACGGGUGAGUAACACGUAGGUAACCUGCCCCCCAGUCUGGAACAACUAGAGGAAACUCUAGCUAAUGCCGGAUGAGACCACGAUCCCUUCGGGGGUUGCGGCCAAAGAUGGCCUCUACUUGUAAGCUAUCGCUGAGGGAUGGGCCUGCGGGCCAUUAGCUUGUUGGUGAGGUAACGGCUCACCAAGGCUGUGAUGGCUAGCUGGUCUGAGAGGAUGACCAGCCACACUGGGACUGAGACACGGCCCAGACUCCUACGGGAGGCAGCAGUGGGGAAUAUUGCGCAAUGGGCGAAGCCUGACGCAGCGACGCCGCGUGGGUGAUGAAGGCC